AGAGUUUGAUUCUGGCUCAGAGCGAACGCUGGCGGCAGGCUUAACACAUGCAAGUCGAACGACGUAGCAAUACGUUAGUGGCAGACGGGUGAGUAACACGUGGGAACAUCCCCCUUGGUCGGAAUAACUCAGGGAAACUUGAGCUAAUACCGGAUAAGUCCGAGAGGAGAAAGAUUCACGCCGAGGGAUUGGCCCGCGUCUGAUUAGCUAGUUGGUGAGGUAAUGGCUCACCAAGGCACGAUCGGUAGCUGGUCUGAGAGGAUGAUCAGCCACACUGGGACUGAGACACGGCCCAGCUCCUACGGGAGGCAGCAGUGGGGAAUAUUGGACAAUGGGCGCAAGCCUGAUCCAGCCAGCCGCGUGAGUGAUGAAGGCCCUAGGGUUGUAAAGCUCUUUCGCCAGGGACGAUAAUGAGGUACCUGGAUAAGAAGCCCCGGCUAACUUCGUGCCAGCAGCCGCGGU
RNAcentral lists this ribosomal RNA (462 nucleotides) under uncultured Alphaproteobacteria bacterium. RNAcentral describes it as "bacterial SSU rRNA". It matches the Rfam family "Bacterial small subunit ribosomal RNA", at positions 8 to 521 of the family's 1533-position model. Lineage: Bacteria; Pseudomonadati; Pseudomonadota; Alphaproteobacteria. The record is from RNAcentral.